This 693-nucleotide ribosomal RNA is filed under the name uncultured Clostridium sp. Its description in RNAcentral is "bacterial SSU rRNA". It matches the Rfam family "Bacterial small subunit ribosomal RNA", at positions 28 to 749 of the family's 1533-position model. The record is from RNAcentral. Lineage: Bacteria; Bacillati; Bacillota; Clostridia; Eubacteriales; Clostridiaceae.
GAUGAACGCUGGCGGCGUGCCUAACACAUGCAAGUCGAGCGAUCUUCUUCGGAAGAGAGCGGCGGACGGGUGAGUAACGCGUGGGUAACCUGCCCUGUACACACGGAUAACAUACCGAAAGGUAUGCUAAUACGGGAUAACAUAAGAAAGUCGCAUGGCUUUCUUAUCAAAGCUUUUGCGGUACAGGAUGGACCCGCGUCUGAUUAGCUAGUUGGUAAGGUAACGGCUUACCAAGGCGACGAUCAGUAGCCGGCCUGAGAGGGUGAUCGGCCACAUUGGAACUGAGACACGGUCCAAACUCCUACGGGAGGCAGCAGUGGGGAAUAUUGCACAAUGGGCGAAAGCCUGAUGCAGCAACGCCGCGUGAGCGAUGAAGGCCUUCGGGUCGUAAAGCUCUGUCCUCAAGGAAGAUAAUGACGGUACUUGAGGAGGAAGCCCCGGCUAACUACGUGCCAGCAGCCGCGGUAAUACGUAGGGGGCUAGCGUUAUCCGGAAUUACUGGGCGUAAAGGGUGCGUAGGCGGUCUUUCAAGUCAGAAGUGAAAGGCUACGGCUCAACCGUAGUAAGCUUUUGAAACUGUAAGACUUGAGUGCAGGAGAGGAGAGUGGAGUUCCUAGUGUAGCGGUGAAAUGCGUAGAUAUUAGGAGGAACACCAGUUGCGAAGGCGGCUCUCUGGACUGUAACUGACGCUGA